Molecule: long non-coding RNA, 25142 nt
Filed under: Capsicum annuum
Lineage: Eukaryota; Viridiplantae; Streptophyta; Magnoliopsida; Solanales; Solanaceae
Description: long non-coding RNA (CANN_LNC020266)
Source: RNAcentral
AUUAAUAGGAGAAGUCAUGUAUCUCAACACCUUUGGACUCUGCCCAUUAUCCAUUGGAGAAUAAUAAAAGAAACUCUUGUAUCUCAAACCUCUGAAUCUUGCCCAAAAACCACAGGAGAAGAACGAUAUAAUCCAACCAAUGAUAUGCAUGGGAAAUCAUAUGAGAAACCAAUGCUAUUAGAACCUUGAGAAGUGCGAGACAAACUAAUUACAAAAUUCAUAGUAAUCCGCUCUUACUUCCGCUGUGGGAUAGGUAGCUUCUAAAGAAAUCCACGUGAUCUCAAGUUCUAGGACUCCACCUACUGACAACACAAACAUCGAGAUCUGAAUUCCUCUUUGUCCCUUUUCAUUCCACACCACCAGCAAUGCUGUCUCAGAUCUCUACAUCUUAUAUGCACCAGGAUGAAUGGAAUAUCUAGAGCGAGUCUUUUGCAAUAUCAACAAAAUCAAAUCACCAAUCCUCAAAUAUCAAGACACCCUCUGGGUCCAAGGUAAUCUUUCUAUCCUCAUCCCUCGAUAUCCGAUUUCUAAUGCCAGACAUUCUACUUUCCUCAAAAUGCCGCCCUGAAUCUAUUCCAACAAAUAAGAAUUAGCCUCAACAUGGGAAAGAAUCCUCCUAGAAUAAAAAAUAUCAAGUUUAACCAACCUUUUGCUAUAGGUGGAUGUCUAAGGAUACUUGUCGACUAAAAGGAAAACCAAAAUCCCCAUACUCACCACUACUAGAAAUUAAAUUUUUUUCGAUAGCUAAUGCAGUCGAAAAAUAAGACAUUUUUGAUGACAUUCCAACUGUUUUAGGGUAGGCGGAAUAAGAGUUUGUCGAAAAAAUAUUUUCGACUACGGCAAUCGCAAAAUGUAAAUUAUAGAAUGACCAAAUAAAAAAUAAUAUUAUGACUAGUGUAGUCGUAAGAUUAAUAAAAUAAUUAAAAAUAAUUACGUAAUAAUUAUAAAUAUUCAGACUACAGUAGUCGAAAGAUUAAUAAAUAAUUAUAGAUAAAAUAUUUUCCACUACUGUGGUUGGAAACUAAUAAUGUAAUUAUUUAAUAAAUAAAAUCUUCGACUACGGUGGUCUGAAAUUAAUAAAAUAGUUCGUUCAAAUUAUUCCGAUAGGUGUCACUUAACUUUUUCUCAAAAAAGCUUUUACUAUUCUGACCAUUGUAGUCGAUUUUUUUUUUUUGUUUUGCCAGCAAUGGUGCUCUUUUUUUUUUUUUUUUUUAGCUUUCACUGCUCUCAUAUUACAAACAAUAGCAACAUAUCAAAUGUAUUUUUCAUAGUAGGAUCUAAAAAUUAUGAACACAACCUAAAAAAAUUCAACCACUUUGAAACAUCCAAAACAGACAUCAAGUCAAAUAGUUUAAACAUUCUAAAACAAGUUUAGGACCAAAUGUCACAAUCCAAAACAAAUAUCGAGUCGAAUAGUUUAAACAUCCCAAGAGAACUGUAAGUUUAAACGUCACAAUCAAAAACAAGAACCAACAACUACAAUCUAAUUAUCAUCAAAUUCACUAUACCAACAGCUACAAUCUAAUUAUCUUCAAAUUCACUAUCUUCCUCAUCAUCAAAUACUUGAGGCAUGUGCUUCUUGACUAACUCCUUAAAUUUAGCAAAUUUGACAAACUUAGCAUUAUUAACUGCACAUUGUUGCGUCAAAUCUUUAAUUUGCUUUGUCAUCGCUUCUAUUUCUUUCAUAUUUUGUGAAGUAGAAAAGGAGCUAGGAAACAAUGGGGAAGGACUAUUUGAGGAUUGGUGAACUCCAAGCCCAUAGGUUCUACCUUUAUUUGGACCACCAACCACAACUGUUCAUAUUUUAGUCAUAUCUGCAAGUGAUGGUUGGACCACGAUACCAUCCUCUGAAGUAGGUUGAGUUUGACGCCAAUCUUCCUUGCCUUAUUGAAAUCCUUCCAAAAAGAAAAAUAAUUGUCAUUAUGUAAACAAGCUAAAUUGAAUAAUGAGAAAUCAACAUAUGUAAAAUUAUUAUUUUACAAUGUAUUCUUAGCACGCGUUUCGAUCCAAUCUUCUCUUGUACCAUCCUUCUUUUUCUUCUUAUGCGUCUCUUCGAAGAUCUAAGAGGUACAUCUUUUCCCCCAUCUUGUGGAAAAAAAAAUGAUUUCCUGAGGCGGAAAAAAAGAUAUCAAAUUUCUACCAAGAUAACUGGAAGUUCCAACUAAUAAGAAGCCUAAUGAACCUAAAAAAAGGAUAAAGGCGCAGCAGAAAUUACUUAUUUUUCGACACCCCGUUAUAAGUUCUAUAUGUUCUGAUCGCCAAGUCAUACUUAAGUAUUAUUGCAAAAUUUAAGAAAAGAGAUACCACAGUUAUCAAAUCUUUGAAGAGAUUAGAGUCUUUUAACUAUAGCAAAGAAACACCUUGUUGAAGCUACUGGAAUAUGAUGCAGAUUCACAUCUCAAGGCAGAGGUGCAAAUUCACUUUAGAAAUAAAACAAAUAAGAGCCACAUAAUAUGUCAAACAAUAUUACCAAUCUUCAUCGGUGGAUAACAAAACUCAUCGAACCUCCAGUGUGCAACGAGCCACCCAUUUUAGAGGCUCGAUUUGCCUUUGCCCGUUCACGCUUCCCUUUAUAUUAGGAAUGUCUCAUAUUUCCAAGAACAUUACCCAAACUUUCUUCGCAAUCCAAUCAGGUCUUCUCAUUUUCUUCCGGGCCUCAUACAAGUGUUCUUUGAUCCGUAGAGAUGCUUUCAAUUGGAAAAUGACAUCUAUUUUAUUUUCAUGACAAGACUUCGAUGCACACUUCGCCUGCAAAAUAGUUUAAUAUAAAGUCAUGAAAUGAGUCAAUGGAUACAAAGGAAAAACUACUUAAUCAUCCACAAUAAGCACACCAUAGUACAUGAACUUGAAAAUAUAAGUGAGCAAUAUGUAUAAUUAAGCAUAAACUACGAGUAAUAGAUUAUUAAUAUAAAAGUAUUGAAAUUCAACGAGGAAAUAACUUGAACCUAGAUGAGCAACACCACCAAAGUUAUUUCCAGCAAGGUGUGCCAUAAGUAUUUGAAGAAUUUUUGGACUAAUUAAUCAGAUUUAACCAAAAAAUCCCACAACAAUCAUAAUACACCAAAGUUAUAGUAAAAAAAAUGCAAAUAUCAACUCUAAAUCCCCAAAAAUGUUCAACUGUUCUUCCUCUUCUCCAACAAACUCCCCUAAAACACAAAGUUAUUACCCCCUCUAAAAAAAUUGGGCACAAACACCUGCUAUAUGUAUAUGAAAACCCCUUUACAGUUAACAUGAGACCAUACAAACUGAAAGAUAUAAAAAGCAUAACAUUAACCCCUAAUUAGAUCCCAAAAUUGAUAUUCUAUAGCUCAACACAAAUCCCUUUGGUAUAUUCUGAUUGAUUAUUCUGAUAUUUGUCAGUUGGAUCUAGUAAAUUUUUCCGGGAUUUCUUCAAAUACUUAUGACACACCUUGCUGGAAAUAUAUCCAACUUGUAAUAUAGUCAUAAUUGUAAGGUUAUUUAUAAUUUUGAGUUUCUUUUGUAUAAUGAAACGUACUACCUUUCCUGCACUUCACUGCUGGUUCUUGAUAAACCACAUCAACUUCACAUAAUCGCACAAUAACAAACUGACUUAUAUCAAGACAAACCCAAGUUUCCAAGCAAUCAACAGAAUGAGAAAAUAAACACCAAAUUCCAAGAACCCCAAACAACAAAAUUUCCCAUUUUUUUGGGAUUUGGUAAAAACAAUAAGUCUUAUCAUACCAGAAAAGAUAGGGUUUAGGGUUUAGGGUUUAGGGUUUAGGGUUUAGGGUUUAGGGUGUGCCAAAGUACAAAAGGUUUUUUCACUUCAUAUUUUACAUUGAACUACAUAGCACAAUAAUAAAUAUCACCAACUAGUUUAAAGGAAUUAACACUAGUUUGUAAAUCUGAAUAUCUUCCAUAGGUUUUUUGAAAUAUAAUAUAUCAAUUCUACUUAGAGACUCAGUGUGCUGAUUUUUUGUGUAGCUCAUAUGUACCAGUACUGCUCCAUUUUGAAUCUAAAUAAUUGAACAUAAGCCUAUCCCAUAAUUCUAAAGUGGACGAGUUCUAACCUCACAGAUAUUUCCUUAACACGUAAAGAUUAAUUUCAAGUCUGGAAUAACAAAUUAAGUAAAAUUAUCCAAUUCCAGUCAUCAUUAGCACAAGAACAAUAUUAUAAUAAAUCAAAUCUAGUCAUCAUUAGCACAAGAACAAUAUGGAUACACACAUACUACAUAAAGAAGAAAGAUUUGGCAACUAUGGAGGCGCCUAAACAAGCUUCUUGGAUGAUAAGAAAAAUUCUAGAUAUGAGGAAACAUUUGCCUAUUUUAAAUGCCAACCAACAAAUCUUUAACAAAGGUAAAUUGUCAUACCUUAGCUCGAAGGGCAUCUAACUUGUAGACAUCACAAUAAUCCACAUGUGUUAAAAGUACUUCAAGGCUGAGAAAAAGAUAGUACACAUGAUGUUUGCUCACAAGAGCUGCCUAACUGAGAGUCCAUGUAUUAUAUUGUGUAAUAUGAAUAGGGGUAAUAGUCCAAUUCAACAUGAUUCAGAAAAAUCUUAAGAUAAAAAAUCAAAAUUGUACAAAUACGUGGGAAGAAAAUGUUACAUGCACUCCUAGACAACUAGUUACUGAUAUUAUUGGGAAGGAGAAACCGCUAAAACUCUUAAGAAAGCUCUUGGUCAGACCAACAAGAAUAAAAGAGAUACUGGAAAAAUAAGGCAAGAAAAAGAGAAAAAGAAGUCUACUGGUUUUGUUCUAUUGACUAAAUAAGAUAGUUUAAAUAUUCCUCCCUCCCCCACCCAGCUUGGAUCAGCCAGCAAAUGUCUAAUGUAAUCUCAACAUAAUUCAUACUAGUUCCAGCACAGUUUAUGUAGACUUGAAUGAUGAAUACAGAGUUGUCAACUCCGAAGAUGAAUUUGAGAAAUACAAACAACUUAUAAUGGAAGGGGAGGUAGAAGAAGAGCUCAAUGAAUACUUGAUCAAAGCAUUUGGUUCCACAUAUAAUAGUGAAUUACAAGAGAAGGUGAAACAAGUGUAUAAUCAACAAGGGUUAUCACUCAAAGACGAAUCAUGAAAGGAUCACAAAUCAAUAAAAGGCUAAUGAUUAGUACUUUCAUUUGGAAUGCCAGGAGUAUCAACACCAAAGGAGCCUUGGAAAGAAUCUAAAACCUUGUCAAACAAAAAACUAAAGUUCACAAAGGAAGAGAAGAAUAUUAAUGAAGAGGUCUUAAAUUGCAUUACAAGAAUAGUUGCAAAGGAUUAGAAUAUACCGUAAACUGAUUCCACAUUAGAAUUUUUAUUUUGUAUGGAAUCUUAUUCCAACUACCCCACAUCUCUUUAAAAAUGGUUUAGUUAAUUCUGUAACCAUAUGCCCGAAGCUAUAUGUGGGAAUGAACUUGCAAUAAAACUAUAUUAAACCAUCUUAGCUUUCAAAUUUUAAAAAUGAAGGAAAAACAUAAGGGUUGCUUACCCAUCACCACCAGUGACAAUAAUUAGCCUCCCAAAAUUGUCAUAUUCUAAUACCUCUUUAAAUUUCAGAUUCUGGGAGGCAGCUGCUGUAGCAUUAGACGCUGUAGCACUAUUAAUAAAGGGAGAUGAUGUGCUAGGACCUUUAAUUCUCAAUACAGAAAGGCUAAGUGUGGAUGAUGUAGAAGGCACAAAUAAAGAGCUACUAUGCAGACUAUUAUGAGGAGAAGUGAUGUGGAACUGGUCAGAUGGUAGCGGCAUAAAAAUGCAUUUGGUAGUGAAAUAGUUGACUAGGAGGAGGAGGAAAAUUUGCAGUAUCUGGUGGAGAAGUUGUGGUAAUAGGUGGUGGUGGUGGUGUAUAUUGACCUGCAGGAGGAUUAUCAGGUCCUUUCUUACUUUUCUUACGUUGUCCAUUACCAUUACCCUUUUGCGCCAUUAAUUUUUUUUACUAACCACCUGAAGAAGAAAGAACAACCAAAUUAGAAAACAACCUAUUUUUCAUAAAAGUAAAUUUCAACAUACAAAUCAGUUAUGUAAUGAAUGAUAGAAAAUAAUUACUUUGUGCUUGUAAGGGACAACAACUAAGAUUUCUCAACCAUUAUCAAUUAAAACAUUUAUGUUUUUCCAUCAUUUCAGAAAUCUUAAAAUAAUGGAUGAAUUAAUAUAGUUAAGUAGUACCGAUUAAACAAAACAGACAACACAUAUAUACUACAAAAAUUCACCACUGCUAUUUAAUCAAACAACUAUCAAUGUUCUUACCGCCACUACAAAUGUUAACAGAAAAAAGACACUAUAUUGUCAAGUAAAAUAGCAGAAAGUACAAACUAAAAUACAAUUUAAGACCCUGUUGCUACACAUUACUACUAUUAAUAGCAUUUCAAUCCUCAUUGCUUGAUUCAUAGUCAUUCAUUAAUUCUUCGUCAUCGCUUGAUUCAUAGUCAUUCAUCAAUUCUUCCUCAUCACUUGUUUCAUUUUCAUCAAGUAACUAUUCCUCACUUGUAUCAUUUUUAUCGAGUGACUCUUCCUCGCUUAUUUUAUUUUCAUUAGUUGGAUCUUGUCUUUUGCCCCGAAUGUUCCUUCUCCAUAAUCAUUAACAUUCAAUCUAAGUUCAGAAGGAUCAAAUUUUUCAUAUAGGCCUUUACUAUGCUGCAACUCACUUGCUAAUUCAUCAUCCACCCUUUCUUCAACACUUGAAAUGUCAUUCUGAUACGCUACAUCCAAUGUAUCCUCUACAUCAACUCUACCCACCAGCUUUGUUUUUAUAACUACCCACCUUGCAGAUUUUUUCUUACACAAAGGAUAAGGAGCAUAAUACACUUGUUUCACAUUUUAUGUAAUGACAAAUAAAUCAUAGAGUUCAUACUCCCUUGUAUGCUUAAUUUCAAUAAUUUUGUAUUGAAGGUGCACCUUUGUACCUAACCUAGCAUAGAAUCGUACCACUUAUACCAACAGAGUACCAACUUCUUUUUUGGCCAACCAACAUGAUAAUCGAGUUCUAAAAUCUCAAGAAGCAUACAGUAAUAAUCAUCACCACCAUCACCUUUAACCCACACCUUACUAUUGUUUGUUUUCUUUCCCUUAAAGAACUCUUCCGUAUGAAAUUUGUACCCAUUGACAGAGUACCUAGAAAAAUUUAUGACUUUAUCAUUAGGUCCCUAAGCUAUAUGAUGUAAGAAUUGGUCAUUUGGGUCAUAAUUAACUGAAUUAUGAACCUAUAAAAAGUUCAAACAAAGUUAGAACUUAAAUAUACAUAAAACUGAAUAAAAGUGUAAAUUGUGUUAAAUAUUAAAGUUACACUUACAUUUUCACUAAACCACACUGAAAACAUAGGAUAAACAGCAGCAUGCCCAUGCAAAGCCACAAAGUAGUUGUUCGACAAAGUUAUGACUUUCAUUAGUUAAAACUUAGAUAGACCUUGAAUGAUUGCUGCUAAUAUAAAGAUACUCACUUAUAAAAAGGUAGGACCUCAGGGAAAUUUAAUAAUACAUGUGUUGUAGCUGACUUAAACUCCACCUCAUUCAAAUAUUAAGCUGGACCAAGUUUCGGACUUCCUUUACCUGGUUGAUUGAAUAUUAAAAAUGGUGGUGCUGAAAGAUCUGUAUUGUGUCCAUCAUCAUGCCUAUUACGUCUGUUUCUUAGACAUGACACAUCAUGUUCGAAAUAAUAUGAACAAAAAUUAGAGGUAUCUUUAGCCAAAUAAACCUUACAUAUUGACCCCUCAAUACAUUUGCCAAUGGUCCUGUAUAGUAUGAUCUUUUAGAUGAACUUAUAUACAUCCAUCUACACUGAAAAAGCCCUCCAAGUCGUGCCUCUCGCACAAGGUGAAUUGGAUAAUGCUUUAUAACAUCAAGAAAACCAAGAGGAAAAUUUUUUGCCAACUUGUUUAAGGUUAAGUGAAUAUUGAUAUCAAUCAAAGAUAGGUUAUCCUCCCUUAAUGUGUUAGAACACAAAUCUUUGAAAAAUAAGCUUAUCUCUGUUAUGGGUUCUAUAUUUUAUUGGGCUAUGCACUAAAUGCAAUAGGCAUUACUGACUCCAUGAAAAUGUGACAGUGAUGGAUCUUCAUAGACGUCAACUAACCUUUUUUCAUGUCAACACACCUGGAUAAAUUUGACGCAUAUCUAUCUGGCAUUCUCAAAUUCUUAACCUAAUCACAAAUCGCUCUUCUAUCAUCUAAAAUGAAUGUGUAACUAGCCUUGAGAUUCUAAACCUUAUUGUUUAACUAUGUCGGGCACAACUCGCCAAUAAUACUCCUUUAAGUCCAUCCUGGCCUUCAAGUUAUCUUUUGUUUUGUUACUUACAUCCAUCACAGUAUUAAAUAAGUUGUCAAAAAAGUCUUUUUCAAUAUGUAUGACAUCCAGAUUUUGAGGCAGAAGAUUAUGCUUUCAGUAAUCUAACUCCCAAAAUAUGCUUCAUUUGGUCCAAUUAUGUGUAACACUAUCCUGGAUGGUGGAGACUCUGUUACCUCUAGCAGAUUCCUCACUCUAUCCCAAAUUUUUUCUCGCGACAAGAUUGGUGGUGGCUUCUCAAAAUCAGACUUAUUCUUUAUAAAAUCACUAGUAUUUCUCCUAAACUCAUGUUGCAUCGGCAAGAAUUGACGGUGACAGUCAAACCACGAGUUUUGACCCUCAUUUUUCAAAGUGAAUGCUUUUGUGUCUUCCAUACUACAAGGACAAGCUAACUUUCCCACAGUCGACCACCUAGACAAUAUUUCAUAAGCAGAAAAGUCAUUUAUAGUCCACAUCAAAGCAUCACAUAAUCUAAAGUUUUGUUUGAUUGGUACAUCAUAUGCUUCCACACCUUCGUGCCAUAAUAAGUUCAACUCAUUAAUUAGUGGUUGCAUAUAUACAUCAAUUAAACAUUUUGAUUACAAGGACCUAGAAUAAUGUAAGUUAGAAAUAUACAUGGAUUUGUCAUACAUAACUCAGGUGGGAGAUUAUGAACAGUCAUAAAUACUGGCCAACAUGAAUAUCGUGUCACUAAGACAGAAAAUGGAGUGAAUCCAUCAAUAGAUAACCCCAACCUAAUGUUUCUUGGCUCACUAGAAAAAUCUAGAUACACACUAUCAAAAUGCUUCUAUUCUUCUCCAUCUGAUGGAUGACAUAAAACACCAGGUGGUCUUUUAUGUUCAUAGUGCCAUCUUAUAUGAGGGGCAGAGCUCAUUGACGUAUACAACCUCUUUAACCAUGGUAUAAGGGCUAAGUAGUGCAUCGACUUUAUUGGAAUCUUCUUCCCUUUGUCAUUAUUCACUUCCUUAUAAUGAGGUUGGUUAAAAAAUUUACAAUGUUCUAAAUCUGCAUCUUCCUUAUAGAAUAACAUGCAACCUUUCCCGCAAUAGUGAAUCCUCGCUGAUAAAAGUCCUAACUUAGAAAACAACUUCUUUGUUGUGUAGAAAUCUUUGGGUAAGUCAAAUUUAUUUGUAUUAAGCUCAUUCAUAAGUUCAAUGCUAGAAUACAUGCCCUCUUGAGAAAUAGAAUAAUCUGACUUAAUUCUUAGUAACCUAACUGCAACAGAUAACUUGGAAUGCAUUGACCCUUCAUACAGUGGAUGACUAGCCUCCUUUCACUUUUCAUAAAAGUGGUUAGCCUUAUAAUUUGGUUCAUUUUGAGACCAUGAGUUUUUCCCAAACACAUCCCUAACCAUCUCACUAUAUUGAGAACUUUUGACAUUAUUCUUUCUUAUGGGGCUUCUCUCACCACCAAAUGAAUUCUAAAAAGCAAAAUUAUUAGCAGCAAUACUCUCUCCAUGGGCGAUCCACACAGUAUACUUCAACAUAAAUUCAUUCUUUUAAAGAUGUAACUUAACAAAAUUUGGACUCAAUAACUUGGAACACUUUUAUUUCAGACAAGGACACCUAAUUGUCCGUUCAAUAAGAAAAUCAUCAAGGGUCAUUGCUUUAGAAAUAAAUCCAGCUACCCCAUCUUUAUAUUCCUCCCUCGACCCUGUACGGUUAAGAUAUGUUCUAUUGUACAUCCAUGUGCGAUCUGCAUUUUCCAUCUACACAAGAAUGACAACAAUAACAGUAAAAAAGAGAAACAAAAGCAGGAGAACCAAAACAAUGAAAAUAGGAUUAAAAACACCAACAAUAGUUAUAGUAAUAGUGAACACGGGACAAUGAACAGAUCAUGUCAACAUUUGCUACUUGUUGGUUUAAGAAAAUACAUGUCCAGAAUUUUUAUAGUAGUUGAAAACAGAUCUUUAAGAGUGCUAGUCUUCCAAAAACUAGAGAAAGAGUAGGUGGUUUUCAAAGAAAUAACAUGGUAAGGUUUUUCUAGUUAACAAAAAUUUAUGGACAAUACCUGCGAAAUCAUAAACAAUACCACCAAGUAUAAUCCAAGUACAUUACUACAACUCAACUCAAUAAAUUUUCACUUUCUGAAAUGUAAAUCAUAAUACACUCAUUGAAGAUACAUUUUGCUUUUAAUAGACGUGUCUACCCUCCGGUAUUCAUUUCUGGAAGCAUAAGAAAUGAACAAAGCGGAGGCAAUGCACUCCUAAUAGAAAUAGUACUUGGGCAAGGAAAGCAAAUUCCUAUGUGAGUUACAUUGAAUAAGACAAAGUAAAAAACUACAAAAACAGAGCGCAACUCAGAUAUCUCAGGUGUCCUUCAUCUUCAACCUGAAAGACAAAGAUAAAGCAAAAGAUUUACUAUACUUAAAUUGCACAUGUGACUAAUUUGGUUUGUUACCAGUUUGUUUAAAUCUUUAUACCUGUAAUACCUACUUAUUUGUAUCUCAACUAAUCAUUUGAUAAACCCGUGUAUGAAAAGUGGGGCAGAUGAACUAUUAUAAACUUCAUCAUACAGAUAAAUUUGCACUAAAACUUUGACAACCCAACCAUGCCUUUGGAACUAAUUCCAUUUUCUUACCAAUAUUAAUGCACAUAACAAAUAUUUUAUAAACAUUUGCAUUACAAAAUAAAGCAAAUUUAACAAUCUAUUUAGCAUAACUGUUCACACAAACAAAAAGCCAAUAUAGAACUAAAUGAUAUACACAUAACCAAAUCCAUUUCCUCUCCAUUACUUUUAGUUUCGAAUCACAACAGUGAUUCAAACCAGCUUGAUCACACCCCAACUAAUCAUUUGAUAAACCUACCCACCAAAAAUUGGGGCAGAUGAACUAACAUUAAGCUUAUUAGAUGGAAUUUCUCCUACAUCUCAACCAUACCUUUGGCACUACUUCCUCUACAACAUUAAAAUACAUAGCAAAUCUCAUCGGAACACUAAAGUUAUGAAAUAAAAUAAGUCUAACCAUCUUUUUGACAUUACACUUCACAAAAUCAGAAUACUAGUACAGAACAAAAGAAUAUAAGAGCAUGAAUAAAAUAGAGCAUUUCAAUGUUAACAUUGUGCCAAGAGUGUGCCUCUCUGGCUAUGCUCAAUACGGCAACAACUACCAUUACUACAUCUCAACCUUAAGCAAUUGGUUGGGGUCAACUAUGUAUAUAUGACAUGACCAUGUUGCUUCAUUUAGCAUAGGCAAAGUUAUAUGUAAUCUUGAAUUUGGAUUCGCAAUAGUCGCAAACACCGAGAAAAAAAGAAGGUUUUGCAUGACUGUUAAUCUGCGAAACAGUUAGCAACCUAGAAAAAAACCAAGUGAACUGAAACAUAAAUCAAGUGUAAAAUUAUUGUGAAUAUAAUUAGAAGAGUGAGCUAGUAUCUCAGUAUCUUUGCAUGACAAUUAAUUUAGAAACAGUUAGCAACCUAGAAAAAGCCAAGUGAACUGAAACAUAAUUCAAGUGUAAAGUUGUUGUGAAUCUAAUUAGAAGAGUGAGCUAGUAUCUCCGUAUCUUUGAGUAAUAGGCAAUACAGAAGCAUCAACACUAUAGUUUAGCUUUAUCUAGCUUGUUUUCACCUUGACCAGAAUAUUAAUUACUUUCUGGAAUUGAUGCUUUCAAAGUAAGAGAGUAGCUAGUUUAGCAAAUUGCCAAAGCAUUUACCGAGCAAGAGUAGAUAUCGUAAAAAUAAACAAAACAAUUCUCUUGAUAUGUAGCUAGUUUUGCUAUCAAGAAUGCUAUUUUUGCACAUUUCCAAUGAGUUAUGUAAGCCCAAUAGAUCUUACAAAAAUCAAUAAUGUAAGGCCUAACUUUCUGUGGAGUUCAGGAAACUUGAGGGGCCUUUUAUUUGCCACCAAGGACUUUGGCGUAUCACAAAAGGGCUCAAACCCCUCACCAAAGCUGUUUUCUUCUCCAAGUUAAACUCACUCACUCUUUAUGGAACUUCAAGCUCAUUGCCAAAACAAUAAUGGUGGUUUCAACUUAAAUUCAUGAUGGGUAUUUAGACUUCUCCAAUUUGACACCUAAUUACUCAAGCAUUAACGAAAACCCAAAUUCACAACAAAGUCCUAAUUUUGAUUUCUCACUCAAUUCUUACUCUAUUAAUCCAGCGGAGGAAUUCAUAGUUUCACAUAAGAAAUUAACACCUAGACUUGCUUAAUUUCAUGGAAUAACUAAUUUUUCUUUUUCUCAUAAUUAAUUCCAAAAUCCAACAUUUGGAAGAUUGACAUUCCAAAUCCACUACGACCAUCCCAUCACACCCUACCCACCUCUCCAUAACCCCCAAAACACAAUGCAACCCCAAUCAAAAACCUAAAUAGACGCCCAAUAACAGAAUUAAUCAAAAAUAAAAUAAAUGUAAGUUUCAACUCACUGUCGCAGUGCCUUCACCACCAACAAAAAGGGCCCAAUACUACCAACUCACUGUUGCCGUCACCACCAAAAAUCCGCCAUCGCCGCACUACCGGAAUGCUAAUACCCUAGUUUAGAGAGAGACAGAGCAGUGAGAGAGAGGGUAGUGAGAUUUAUAGAGAGAGGAAAUUUCUUACAAUAUAAAUGAAAUAUUUAAAUUACAUUUUUUUACAAUUAUUUACUAAUUAAAUAAUAAUAUAUUUAAUUAAUUAUUUAAUAUUUUUGACUACUGAGUUCUGGUAAAUAUAUAAUCAUAUAUUUGAUUAAUUAUUUUUAAAUUUUUCGACUACAUAAGUUGAAUUAUAAUUCUAUUAUUAAUUAAUAUUCUUAAAAUAUUCUGAUUGAAAUGAUGAAAACAUUUGGUAAAAAUAAGAUUAACAAUUUAUAUAUGCAGUGAUCGACUACUGUAGUUGGAAUAUAUUUCCAAGAAAUUAUUGCCAAAUCUUAUGGUUCUUGUUGUCAGAAAUAAUAUCAGACAUUUUAUAAAAAACAAAAAUUAAAAAUUAAAAUUUUUAAUUAAAGUAGUCGAAAAUUUGAGAUUGAUUUUAUUUCGUGAGAAUUUUCAAUAAAAAAAUAUGAAUUUCGAGUAGUGCACCGCCUUUUGGCUCAAGGUAUUCGCUACCACAUUUGCCUUGCCUGAAUGGUAUAAAAUGGAAAUUUCAUAGUCAUUUAGAUUGUGAUUCUUCUAGCUCAAAAUGUACUGAAGGAUAUGAUCAUAUGUAAAUAUCUCACAGUGAACACCAUAAAGGUAGUGCCUCUAAAUCUUAAGCGCGAAAAUUACUGCCACCAACUCUAUGUCAUGGGUGGGUAGUUACGCUCAUGAACUUUUAGUUGUAUAGAAUAAUAUUCUAUCACUCAUCCCUAUUGCAUCAGAACAAAACCUAAAACAACACUUGAAGAAUCACAAUUGACUAAAAAAUCUGGCCUUCAACUAGAAUAGUCAAAAUUGGAGAUAAGUUAGUAAGACCUAGAUCUUCAGAAAGCUCACCUCACACUCACCGAACCAUUGCAAUGAAAUAACCUUCCUAUUUAAUAUGAUCAAUAGCUCUAUAAUAAAAAAUAACCCAUCAAUGAACCAUUUGUUGUUACCUACCAAUGCAAUGAAACCGCAAACCUCAAUAGGAGAAGUGGGUCUAGCCCAAUCAUAAACUACCUUAAUCUUCUCAGGGUCUACUAUAAUUCCUUUUUUUGACAUUACAUUCCCUUAGAAUGCUACAAAAUCAAACCAAAACUCACACUCUAUGAACUUGGUAUAAGGCCCCUGAUUUGUCAUAUUCUAGAGCAUAAUACUCUAUUAUUUCUCAUGCUCUUCCCUACUCCUCGACUAAAUAAGAUGUUGUCAAUGAAUACUAUCACGAGUGACUCGAAAUAGGGCUUAAACAUAUGGUUCAUCAGGUUUAUGAACAUUGUUGGGGAAUUGGUCAACCUAAAAGACAUCACCAGGAACUUGUAAUAGUUGUACAAGUUCGAAAGGUUAUCUUAGGGAUGUCUACCACCCUAAUCUUCAACUGACAGUAGCCAAAUCUUUAGUCAAUCUUUUAACAAAUGAUACACCUUAGAGUUAGUCAAAUAGAUCAUCAAUACAUGGCAUUUGAUACUUAUUUCUUAUAGUUACCUUAUUCAGUUGUCGAUAAUCAAUACACAUAUGCAUAGAACCAUCUUUCUUCUUUACAAAUAGAACAGGAGAACCCUAUGAAUAAUUACUUGGUCUGACGAAACACUUCCCUAGAAGCUCCUGAAGCUGAACAUUAAUCUCUGUCAAUUUAGCAGGGGCUAUAUGAUAAAGUGGAACCAAAAUAUACCUAAUUCCCAAAUCAACAUGAAUAGAAAAGUCAAUAUCACACUCAGGCGAGAGGCUAGGUAAGUUAGUAGAAUAGACAUUAGCAAACUCAAGAACCACAAGAAUAGAAUCAAGGGAAACAGUGUUGGCACUAGUAACUGUACUUAAGUAAGAUAAGACAAACACCCCUUCGAAACCAUCCUCAUUUCCUAAAUGUAAGAAACAAUCCUUGUCGAUACAUGACUAUUAAAACCCACAACAUAGGUACGGGAAUUCCAGACGUAACUAAGGUAAUAGUUUGGCUAAGCAAUCCAAGACUGUGAGAUAAGGGUAUAACAAGUUGAUGCAUAUAAUAGCAUCAAAAUCAACCUAGUACAGUGGCUACACAUAUAGACAAAUAACCUGACCCAACCUGGGGCCUUAUCGUAACGGGUAUCUGGAGUCCAACUUGGAUCGGGGGCUACCCCCGAUACCCAACCCAACCAUCCAAAUGCAUACCCUGAGUCAGAUGAAUUCUGAACAUAUAACAAGAUAGCAUUUAUUAUGAUACUAGACUCUGGGAUAGGUCUAUAACUGUGACCAAUCCAAGUGAGUCCAACCAUCUAUUACCAACUAAUAACCAUAACCAAACUAAUAUAAAAACCAAGUUCCUUUCUAUAACAUAACAUAAAAGUAUGGAAAAAUCAUAAAUUCAGUCCAAGGGUAUCAGCACCAAUAUCAAUGCUAAUACUAAGACUGACACCAAUACCGACACCACCUAUUCCAACCCAUAGUAGUUACACAAGCCUCUAACCAAAAGAAAAACAAUAUUCAAUUGGGAAAUGACCCCAACCAUAGCCAAAAACAAUAUCCAUAGAACGACCAAAGUAUGUAAAAACAUCUAUGGUAUGAAAUAGAGCCUCCAGAGUAUGAAAGCUCACCACUUCAAUCCAAUAGCUGAUCCUAAAUCCAAUCACUAAGUAAGAGGAGUAGAAUGGCUAGUUCCUACAUUGCGUAGGGAUACAACUAUCCGAAGAUGGGUUAGCAGGUGAACGUUACCAUGAAAUUAGGAUAAGGAUAAAAUAAUGUCAUCUAGUAAAACCAGGUAAACCAACCAUAUGCAUACAAACUACACACACAAAAAAACAUAUAUAUAUAUAUAUAUAUAACCAUGUUAGGAAAGAGAGCUGGGUCUAGCAUGCCUUUAAAACCAUUAACUUGGGUAUGUGUAGCUUAACCGUCCUAGAAUCACCCACGUGCUAUGUGUCUAGUGUAACCCCCUGAAUGAUCCCCGAUGCAUGUAGCAGUACAAACUGAAAAUACUAUAAGCGUAAGGGAUUCUCGAGUACCCUUCUAUCUCCAUGAUACAUAUGUACAGUGUACUUAGAGGAUUCCCAUGUACCUCAUAGUAUCAUAUAUGGUCACUAUAACCAACCCUUAUGUGGCAAACAUAAGUUUCCCGUAUCCGUCCAUUGGACUCGCACCCUCACGGUUAGCUAUCACACCCCAACAUUGUUGCUGAAUUAAAACCAUUACCAUCUAACCAAACCAUUAUUCCAUUAUUAUUAAUUAAGGCUAUAAGUAGUGGUAUCAUCAUACUGCCUAUAGCUUGCAAGCAAUGUCCUUAGCCAACCUUUUAUGUAAAGGGAUUCCCAUGUACCCGUAGAUUACAUUAUUAAGUUAACUUGGGGGAAUCCCAUGUACCCCAUAAGUGUCGUAUUAUUAAGUUUUCUUGGGGGAAUACCAUGUACCCCAUAGGUUGUCUAUCAAUAUAUUUACUCGGGGGAUUCCCUUGUACCCCAUAAGAAAGUUUAAUUAACCAUAACCAUGACCACUAAACCUUACCAUUUUAACCAUUCCAAACCAUUUAAACCAUUUAUACCAAUUAGGGUUCCAUUACCAAACCAUACUAUUUAAUAGUUCCAUUAAAAAUCUAAUAGUCUAGUAAAAGCAUUCUCAUAGAUAUUUUAUCAAACACAUUGGGGGAAUAGUGUUUCCAAAAUCAAAACCAAAACCAAGUUCCAAUUAACCAUUCCCAUGCUAUCAAAUGUUCAAACCACCAUUAAAACAUAUAAAUCCAUAAUUAAAACAUGGAAAAACCAUAACCAAGCAUUUAUAACCAAAACCCCAUCAUAUAGUUAAAAACCCAAAACCAUACAUAAAAUUCUGCCAUGAAAACAUUGUAUAAAAUAUGCAUUUAUUUGGAACUAACAAUGAGGAAGGAGUAAUAUUCCUUAGAUUAUGAAGACAAUGGAGAGAAAUUACUUGUACAAGUCCCAAAUUGAUCCUCUAGAUGAAACCCUAGCCUUUCUUUACCCAAGAGUCAUAGAGAGAAUUAAAGAGUGUUUCUAAGUGUUUAAGUUUAGAAUAAUAGGGCAAAUAAUAUCCCAAAAGAGUUAUAAGUCAUGGGGCCUUAAGAGGUUAAGUAGGGAAAUAUCCAAAUUACACCUACUUAAACUGCUUUAAAUUCUCAUCAGAUGGUACGACUACCCAUACCUGUCAUACCAUCUAAUACAAGUUGUCUCCACCACUCGUACCCUAGGCCUCCCCCUUGGACCCAGCACUAUCCACUAUAUGACUUACCUAGCACAAGUCAUACAUAACCAUAUAAUCAGUACCCCUAAACCAUAUCCCUGGCAAAAUAGAAUCAAAGGAGGUUUGAUCACUGUCUUCCAUAUGAGUCAGUAGUAUGAAUUAUACCCUAUCUCAUUGCUCAUGGUGAGCCACUCAUACUCAGACCCAACUUAAGUUACUAAGUCUUAGAUUAAGUAAAGGAAAAACCCAUCACUAACCAUACGACUUGUACCUACCAAGUCGUACCCAUUCCAGAAACUAAUCCCACCUACUAACCAACACUAGUUAGUAUACGACUAAGAUUAUACCAACUGUACCCUACCAUAUGGCUGGUACCCAUAAGUCGUAUAAUGUCUAGAAACUAAAAAUCCAGGAAAUUUUCUAAGGGUCUAAACCUAGGGUGUUUUAUCCAAAGCAAAGGUUCUCUAAUAAUCCCGAACUAAGAAGAAAAAUAUAUCAUCACAUAAUAAUAAAUGGAACUUAAGUCAAAUAAAAUAAAAGCUAACAGUCAACACAUUGAAAUCAUACUUGUGAUUACUAAGUUAGAUGGCUUUGCUUUGGCCUACAAGAAAAUGCAUAUAACUAUCCGCGCCCACUACCAAACUAAGAACCUAACCAACCACCUAUAUUUCCUGACAGACCACCUCCACAAGGACCCUGAGAACCAUCCUUAAUGCUUUAGAAACCACCUUUAGCCUAUGAUAUUCUUGAUUUUAGAGGCUAAGUUUUUGUUUUGAAUGCUCGAUUAUCUCAUAUUAGGGACACUCUUUAGAAAAAUUACUAUCAACUCCACAAUAUAGAAAGACCAAGGUAUACUACUGUAAUGAGAUGAACUGGUUGAUCCAAACUGACCACCAUGACCUAAAGACCCAAAAUAAGAAUCUAAUAAUGAAUGAUUGGAUCUCUGACCACGAAAAUCACUAUAAUAUGGCUGACCAUUAUCAGUAAUCUAAGUUAUUUUUGAACCAACUAGAUAUAACCAUGUUGCUAAUAUUACUGGCUAUUACCAGGGAAACCCCUACCACAGAACUGCGAUCCAGUGUGACUACCACUGAAACAACUCUAAUGAUGGGGUAUUUUGUCAUUGCCCCUAUGGGCCUAUAGAUACAAAUCCAUAAUAGUGCAGGUAUGAUUAAUAAUCUAAGAAUGAUAGACCUAAUGAUACCAUGCUCUUAGUAGAUAGAUGAAGUUGCAGUCUUAAUCUCCUAAAGAAGCAACACACUCUCUCAUGUUUAGUAGGUAGAAUACUAGUAUCAUGCUUUGCUAACUUAUUAACCUAGACUUAUACUUGAAAACAAUCAUGGAACCCUACUCCAACCUCAAAAACUCAUUCCUUAGUUUCUCAUAUACACUAUGGGGUAUAUACUUCCCUAAAUAGCCUCACAAAACUUAUAAAGACUUGAUUUUUGUGAAUUAUUCACUUUUAUGUGAUUUGACUAUUUUAUCCCUUAUCGUGGUUGCUUUGUGGUAUUUCUAGGGUGUGGGUAUAAUCUACCUAGUUCCCAAUACUUUUCAAUGUGAUUUGUGUGAGUUUUAGUUUUUCAAGGUUUGACUUUGGUCAACGUUUAUUAUUUUAUGCAUUAGAUGGUAAAACAGACUAUGCUAGUAGAUCCAGAAUAUCGAUUUACAUUGGUAACAUAGUUGGUGUGAUUUUAUAUCUCAUUUUUAUCCUCAUAUUGAGAGGUUGUGAAAUUAGGUCUCGAGGGUCAAUUUUUUUAAUAUGAUAUUUUUUUCAAAAAUAUGAUAUUUCAUUAUGUCUGGAGCAUCAAAUUUGAUAGGGUAGCAUAGUUCAUUUACGUUCUUGGGAUUUUGGAUGAAUCUUGAGGGGUUGAUGGAGACUUGGAAUUCUCAAGUCUCCAAGAUGCUCCAAUUAGUUAGUGCAUCUCCUUAAGCGACACUUGGCUCUCUUACGCGAAGUCCGCUUAAGUGGCCAGUCUGUCGCUUAAAAGACCUAGCUUCACAACUAAUUUUUGCCUAAGCAAGACCCCCCCUGCUUAAGCGAUGCGUACAGAUUUGGCGGAUACCACCUAAGAGGUACUUGGCUGCUUAAUCGGUGACUGCUUAAGCUGUCCAAUAUCCGCUUAAGCAAUACCUGGGUAAUAUAAUAUCCCUUUCAUGAUUUUUUCCCACCAUUUUGAGACUUGGAGAUUGUGUUUUAGAGUUUUUGGGUAAUUUCUUAUAUUUUCAAGCUUGGGUAAGCUCCUAAUCCCUAUUUUUAUUAUUUUUAUUCGAUUCUUGUCAUCUAAUGCUUGUUAAAACUCGAUUUCAAAUGUGAAAUUUGGAAAUUUUGGCCCGAAAAGCCUAAAUUAGUAUUUCUUCAAUUUAAACCCCAAUUUCAAUUCGUUUUUACUUGGGUUUUCUUCUAUGGGUUCCUUUAAUAACGGAUAAAACAUUUUUGAAAUAAAAUUCUAGUUUUACCUUUAUUUUUUAAAAUCCAUUUUGGGGUUUUGUUUUGAUGUCAACUAAAAAAUGAGCAAUAUAGGUAUCAUUGGCUUUAUUUUAAUGCAUAGAUCCUAUAUUUCUAUGUUUUAGUUAAUUUCAAGUUCAUUCAUGAGGGGAAGGUUCCAUGUCGAAGACUUUUGGAUUGGGUAUUCUACAUUCGAGGUUGGUUAUGGCUUAACUUUCUUCAUAUUGGGUUAGGUAGUUAAUACUUAUAUAAAAGUAUGUUAUGUGUGUGGGAACUAAUCAUAUAGAUGGCUUUAUUACUAUUUUGUACUCGUGUGGGGGCCUAUGUUGUUAUUUUGUGGUUUUGAGACAUUUUUGUCGCAACCCAAUUUCUCAGGUCAUAAUGGCACAUACUAUAACCCUCCAGUAGGCAAGUCAACCCUAUAGUCUUGAACUACUAGUAACGGACUACCAAGAGAAUAAAGAAAAAAAAAUGCAGAGUAGAUGUAAUAAAAGGCUAACAUACAUAUGUUUUUCCCAAAAUCUGGUGGAAUCAGUACAAGAGCUUCUACAAUUAAUGAGGAUACACAUGAGAUACUAAAUGAAUAUACAAAUACAACCAUCUCUGAAUACAACAUAGAGACUAGUCUAGUACAUAUGAGGGAGAAAAGAAAUACUUCGAAUGUAAGGAGCUCACCUUGCAUCUCCAAACCAUAGCUACUCUGCACGAUCCACACAACAAUGAAGAUAACCCAUACUAUGAUCUACAGGUUGUAGAAGUAUAGUAUCUGCACCAAACACGUGGUACUUAGUGAGCAACUGUCGACUAAGCUCCAAAGAUAAAGCAAUUAUAUAUAACAUAUAAACAGUAAGGUAAACUACACCCAAAUAUCCAACAAUCUUCAUAAUAAAGCUAAUGAGAUAAAAUAGAUAAGUUAUCCAAUUCAUGUCUAAGAAACUAACAUAAGAAGGCUAAGAAGGUAUUAAAGAUGAACUAUCCUAUUCUAGCCAUACUCAAGAAACUCAACAUUAUACCGUAUAUCACUGACCAAUAUAAGAAUAAAGGGAGAAAGAAGGAUGUAUAAUGGUAUACAAGGACAAGGAAUGAAUAUAUUGAUGGAUUUGAUUAACCGUGUGUUCAGACUUUAUUUGGAUUCCUUUAUUAUUGUGUUCAUCAAUAACAUCCUUGUGUAUUCGAGGAGUAAAGAAGGGCAUAUACACUAUUUGUGAAUUAUGCUCCAGACUUUAUGGGAUCCUGUUCUUUUUGCCAAGUUUGCUAAUUCUGAGUUUUGGCUAGAGUCAGUGACAUUCCUUGGGCAUGUGGUAUCUAAUAAUAAGAUUAUGGUAGACCCAAUGAAUAUUGGGGCUAUUCGUGGGCUAAACCUACAUCUCUGAUGGAGGUUUGUAGCUUUAUUUGCUUGGCUGGUUAUUAUAGAUGAUUCAUUGACGGUUUUGCUACUAUUCAACAUCAAUGAUAAGAUUGACUCAAAAGGAGGUUUCUUUUCGAUGGUUCAAGGAGUUUAAGUCGAUCUUUGGUAAGCUCAAGGAGCUUCUUAUAUCGGAUCCUAUUUUGGCUUUUCUUAUUAAGGGUGAGGGAUUCAUCAUAUAUUGUGAUGAUUUUAGUGUUGGUUUAGGUUAUGUAUUUAUGCAUUCGGGCCACGUUAUUUCUUAUUCUUUGAUGUAGCUUAAGGUGCAUGAGCGUAACUAUCCUACUUAUAUUUUGGAGUUGGUGGUAGUAGUUUUCACGCUUAAGAUUUGGAGGCAUUAUAUUUAUGGUGUGUAUUGUGAGAUCUUUAAUAAUCAUCGUAGUCUUCAGCAUCUUAUGACCCACAGAGAGCUUAAUUCUAGGCAACGUUGAUGGAUGGAAUUGCUUAAGGACUAUAACAUUUCCAUCUUGUAUCAUCCAGGCAAGACAAAUAUAGUAGCAGAUGCCUUAAGUCAAAAAGCAUUAAGUAUAGGUAGCUUGGAUUGUAUUUUAGUUUCUCAGAGGUCAUUUGAAGGUGAUAUUCAGUACUUAGCCAACUUGAUGGUUAAACUUGAUAUUUCAUACCCUAGGAGGAUUCUGGCUAGUGUUGAGGCUAGGUCUUCACUAUUUGGGCAUAUUGGGGAUCGUCAGUUUGAGGAUAAUAUACUUUGCAUCCUUUGUGAUCAAGUGUUGAGUGGUGAUUUUGAGAGGGCCAUCCUAGAUCCUGAGGAUGUUUUGAGAUUUGAUAGCCAUAUUUGUGUUUCAAAAAUUUAUGAUUUGAUUCAGUUAAUUUUGCACGAGGCUCAUAGUUCGAGUUUGAGUAUAACUAAUAUGUAUAGAGAUUUGAGAUAGCAUUAUUGAUGGAGAGGCAUGAAGAAGGAUAUGAAGUAAUUUGUAGCUCGUUGCCUAUGUUGCCAGUAGGUAAAGGCCAAACAUCAACAACCUGGUGGAUUGAUUUUGAGAUUACCCAUUCUCGAGUAGAAAUGAGAGCGAAUUAACAUGGACCUCGUUAGUAGUUACCCGUACAUCCCCUGGUUCUGAUGUUAUUUGGGUCAUUAUGGAUCGGUUGACCAAGUCAGCAUAUUUCAUUCCUAUUCAGAUGUCCUUCAGUGCCAAUAGGUUAGCCUGUAUCUAUGUGCGGGAUAUCAUUCAUUUGCAUGGUGUGUCUAUAUCUAUCAUUUUAGAUUGGGUUUCAUGUCUACUUCUAGCUUUUGGAGAGCUUUUCAGGAGGAGUUGGGUACUCAGGUGGAUCUUAGUAUGGUCUUUCAUCCACAGACAGAUGGCCAGUUCGAGCAAAAUAUUUAGGUUCUUGAGAAUAUGCUCCGAGCCUAUGUUAUGGAUUUUGGAGGUUAGUGGAAAGAGAACUUAGCCUUAGCAGAGUUCCCCUAUAAUAACAGUUAUUAUUCGAGCAUUGAGAUGCCACUUUUUGAGGCCUUGUUUGGUAGGAGAUUUUAUUCUCCAAUUGGAUGGUUUGAAACUUUCGAGAUUUGACCCCGUGGUACUGAUUUGCUUCAGAAGUCAUUAGAUAGAGUCAGGGUGAUUGAGGAUAGGUUCAGAGCAUCUUAGAGUGGACAGAAGGCCUAUGCAAACCGUAGGCUUCAUUACUUGAGAUUUAGAGUUGGUGAUCAAGCAUUCCACUAUGUAUCUCCCAUGAACGAUGUGAUAAGGUUCUCGAGGAAGGGCAAGCUCAACCUCAGAUAUAUUAGGCUUUUUUAGAUUCUCCAUACAAUUUAUGAGGUGGCUUAUAAGUUAGCCUUACCUUCAAAUUUUGUGAUUAUCUGUCUAAUUUCUAUGUUUUAUUGUUGUGGAGAUACAGCCCUGAUCCAUCUUAUGUUCUUAGAUGGGACUUGGUCCAAUUGGAUGACCAGUUACCCUUCUUCGAGGAGCGUGUUCUUAUUUUUUCUAGUGAUGCCAGGCGAUUUCGCACUAAGUAGAUUCAUGUACUUAAGUAUUAGUGAAGGCACUAUCCAGUAAAUUAGGCUACUUGUGAGAUCAAGAGACAGAUGCAGACCUAGUAUCCUUACCUAUUCGAGACUUCACGUAAAUCCUAGUCCUUUUUUUGUGGAUGAAAUUUCCUUUAGUAGUAGAUAUUGUAAUGACCCUUCAGUUCAUUCCCAUAUUUCAACUUGUUUUCACCAUUAUAGCUUCCCUAAGUUAUUUAUGACUUGUUGGGACUAAUGUUUUGGUCACUAGAUAGUUCUUUUAGUUUUAAGAGCCAAUUCCCUGUUUUGAAGUCUUUUCUUGUUCAAAAUGGCUACCGGGCAAAAACAUCGAUCAAUCAAUCUCAUAUCCUAAUUUUGACUGUUCCAACAGCUUUGGAAUGUCAAUUUUAGGUUAGGUAGACCCUUGGUUCGAGUCUCGAGGCACUCAAAAUUAUUUUGACCUAUUAUUUAAAAAAUUUUGAAAAUGGAAAUUGGUAUGGGGCCCAUUUUUUAUUUAAAUAACCUCGGAUGGAAAUUUUGACUGCACCAUUGAGUUUGGAAUGUUGAAUUUGAUAGGGUAGUAUAGUCUAUUUACAUAUACGAGAUUCCAGAUAAAUAACGAGGGCUUGGUGGAGUAUUAGUUGUGCUGGUGCAAUCACCAAUAGCGAUGCCAAGGGUCGCGAUCGUGAUACCCUUGGCAUGCACCAAGUGCAGAGAAUGUGGUUCCAUGUCAUGAUAGAAACUCCCUAGGCUGACCGACAGAUGUCGCGAUCGCAAAGGUCGGGUCACAAUUGCGAUACCCGAACACUUGGGAAGUGUAUAAAUAGUUUUCUUUUAGCCUCUUUUUGCUCAUUCUUCAUGUAUUUCUUAGUGUGUUAAACCCUAAAUGUUAAGAAAGCUUAGUAUUAGAGCUUGUGGGCAGUUUGGGGAGCUUGGAUAACAAUUAUUACGUGAUUUUUCUUUAAAUUUAAGAUAAGAUUCCUUCUCAUUCAUGGUUGAUUUUCUCAUUUCUUGUUCAAAAUCUCUAAAACUUGAUGACUUGAUUUUAGCGCCAAUGUGGCUCGAAUAUAACCCAUUUUAGGUCAAUUACUUAUUGAGCAUAGUGUAAUAUUGGGUUGGCUUUGAAAAUGCAAUUUCUGUAAAUGGGACCUACAUGGAAUUUUUUGGGGAUUUUUGGACCCGAAGCACAAUGGUGCUAUAUGGGUAUCAUCAUUCUUGUAUUGAUGAUUAUAAUAUGAUUUUGAUAGCAUGGAAUCUUUUAGAAUCUUCUCAGAAGGGAAAGUCAGUGAUUUAGCAGAUUUUCGAGCUUUAUUCGGCAUCCUGGUAGGCUAGGCUUCAAUCUCCUUAGAGAUUGAGCUAGUUCAUAAUAUGUUUAUGAUAUCAUAUUUAGAUUUGGGAUGGGUUUUUUAAGUUGGUGAUGUAAUUGGAAACACUUGGGUUAGUUGGACCAUUUAGGCUAUUCGAAAACCAUAAUUUGGGCAUAAAUGACUUAGUUGCUCUUGUUUUAGGUAACAUUUCUAUCUUAGAGUUGAUGAGGCUUAGUUAAUAACUGAAAGUGAGUUUAGAUACCUUAGCCUAGUUUGGGGUAUAAAUUACCUUAAAUUGUAAUUCAGGGAUUUAGAGAUAGGCCUUUAACUUACCUUAGGCCAAAAUUUGUGUCAGCUAUUGGAAAUCAUUUAUACGUUUGUUGUACGCCUUGAAAAUUCUUAUUGAGGUAGUAUUGAUAAACUUUGGAAUUUGAUGGUCUUGAUGGAUUGGCAUGGAGAUUUUAUGCUUAUUGACUAGGUUAGUGACUAUGUUAUUAAUUAUGCUAUUGGUUAUGAUAAUGAUGGUAUACUUACCGAUUCGAGUUCGGAUAUUAAUGAUGAUCUUAAUGACGUAUAUAGUUGGUUCAAGUCUAAAAUAUGCUUAUGGCAUUACUUGUAUACAUAUACAUACCCAGUUCAAGUUCGAAAGUUUAUUGUGAUACUGAUUAUAUAAUUACCGAUUUGAGUCCAGAAAAUUGUUAUAAUGUUGAUCAUGAUGUUGGUAAUAUGUUAUCGUCGAUGUUGAUACAUAUGAUAUUGGUUAUGUAAGGUUGGUUUAUGUCUAACAAGGGAGUAUGAUAUAUGGAUAAUAGGUAUAUUGAUGCUAGUUUGGAAAUGGGAAAUUAUUAUAGUAUAGCAUGAGAUUGAUGGAUUCUAGCUAUACAUGGAAGUUCAGAAAUGAUGAUGGUUUGGUUUACACCUUACUUGGUAGUACCCUCCAAGCUUAUUGGGGCCUGCAUCAAAUUAUUUACUUUUUUGUACCUACUGGCAUAUGAGGGCCAAUUUUGUAGUUAUAAUUACAUGCAAUUGAUCCUUUAUGUUAUACUAUUAUACCAGCUAUUUACUUACUUAUGUACUGUGAUAUUGGAGUUGAUUCAGGUUUGCCUCUACCUUGACUUA